AGCUUUGAUUCUUAUUAGUAAAGCAUGUUUAGCUCGCUGCUCCUGCAUACUUUUUCUCAUAGAGGUUUAGUUAAACCUGCUUCUCCUUUAAGACGGCUUAAGGCCGCUAAAAUCGGAGAGAAUCUACCCUUCAAAAUUGGGCCUGACCAUAGGUUGAGUCUCGGCAUAAAAUUUCUUGUUUUCAUGUUAUUUGGAUUUGGCAGCCCCAUAGCUAUUGUUUACUAUCACAAAUCUAAUUCCGCAUAGUUCCAUGAAAAAUAUA
Molecule: long non-coding RNA, 262 nt
Organism: Zophobas morio
Lineage: Eukaryota; Metazoa; Arthropoda; Insecta; Coleoptera; Tenebrionidae
Exons: 3
Source: RefSeq, a predicted model, not a curated record